RNAcentral lists this transfer RNA (73 nucleotides) under Camelus bactrianus (Bactrian camel). It matches the Rfam family "tRNA". From Rfam's summary of the family: Transfer RNA (tRNA) molecules are approximately 80 nucleotides in length. Their secondary structure includes four short double-helical elements and three loops (D, anti-codon, and T loops). Lineage: Eukaryota; Metazoa; Chordata; Mammalia; Artiodactyla; Camelidae. The record is from Rfam by way of RNAcentral. RNAcentral also lists the same sequence under 2 other names.
CGGGGUAUAGCUCAGUGGCAGAGCGCGUGCUUAGCAUUCAUGAGGUCCUGGGGUUCAAUCCCCGGUACCUCCA